CAACUAGAGGCCUUGGAAACCGAGAGGUGCUGUAACUGGGCUGCAGACCUAGGACCAUGAGUUGCUAGAGUGCUGAAUGGGCAAUUUUAAAAACAACAUACUGGUCUGGACUUUGUGAUUCAAGUCAUGUGAAGAGCUCCUAAUGUGGAAAUCCCUCCAUGGAUCCAGGAGUCUUCAGAGAGGCCUCAUACCAGCUUCCAGCUCAGGAGAGAGUCCCAUACCACAGAGCUCUGGGAUUUGGGUUACAUCAGGUUCCCCUUCCUGUCUGCCCUGAGGAUGCCGGAGAUGUUCAUUUUGGUUUUGUACAAAUAAUAAUUACAGUCAGCUAAGUCAACUACAUUUCCCCCCAAUUACCAUGCAGCAUACUAACCAUUAUACAUGUCAUUAAAUCUGUGUCAUG
Molecule: long non-coding RNA, 400 nt
Filed under: Vombatus ursinus (common wombat)
Lineage: Eukaryota; Metazoa; Chordata; Mammalia; Diprotodontia; Vombatidae
Description: lncRNA (ENSVURG00010004093.1)
Source: RNAcentral